This is a non-coding RNA of Naematelia encephala, 102 nucleotides long. NCBI's taxonomy places the organism in Eukaryota, Fungi, Basidiomycota, Tremellomycetes, Tremellales, Naemateliaceae. The record is from the annotation of a GenBank genome assembly.
GCUGUUGUGCCCGAGUGGUUUAAGGGGAGAGACUUGAAUGUUCAUUUUGAGCCUUGAGAUCUCUUGGCGAAAGCCGCGCACGUUCGAACCGUGUCAACAGCG